Molecule: ribosomal RNA, 458 nt
Filed under: uncultured bacterium
Lineage: Bacteria
Description: partial 16S ribosomal RNA
Rfam family: Bacterial small subunit ribosomal RNA
Source: RNAcentral
CCUACGGGAGGCUGCAGUGAGGAAUAUUGGUCAAUGGGCGAGAGCCUGAACCAGCCAAGUCGCGUGAGGGAGUACUGCCCUAUGGGUUGUAAACCUCUUUUGUCGGGGAGCAAAAGCCGGACGUGUCCGGCUGUGAGGGUACCCGAAGAAAAAGCAUCGGCUAACUCCGUGCCAGCAGCCGCGGUAAUACGGAGGAUGCGAGCGUUAUCCGGAUUUAUUGGGUUUAAAGGGUGCGCAGGCGGAUUUUUAAGUCAGCGGUAAAAUCGUGGGGCUCAACCCCAUCCAGCCGUUGAAACUGGGGAUCUAGAGUGUGCGAGAGGUAUGCGGAAUGCGUGGUGUAGCGGUGAAAUGCAUAGAUAUCACGCAGAACCCCGAUUGCGAAGGCAGCAUACCGGUGCACAACUGACGCUCAGGCACGAAAGCGUGGGUAUCGAACAGGAUUAGAUACCCUAGUAGUC